GGAUGGAUGUCUGAGUGGUUUAAGGUAUCAGUCUUGAAAACUGACGUAUUUUAAAUACCGGGGGUUCGAAUCCCUCUCCAUCCG
This 84-nucleotide transfer RNA is filed under the name Chlorokybus atmophyticus. RNAcentral describes it as "tRNA-Ser". It matches the Rfam family "tRNA". From Rfam's summary of the family: Transfer RNA (tRNA) molecules are approximately 80 nucleotides in length. Lineage: Eukaryota; Viridiplantae; Streptophyta; Chlorokybophyceae; Chlorokybales; Chlorokybaceae. The record is from RNAcentral.